The sequence is a small nuclear RNA, 160 nucleotides long. Its record names the gene U2. It matches the Rfam family "U2 spliceosomal RNA". Rfam says of the family: U2 is a small nuclear RNA (snRNA) component of the spliceosome (involved in pre-mRNA splicing). Complementary binding between U2 snRNA (in an area lying towards the 5' end but 3' to hairpin I) and the branchpoint sequence (BPS) of the intron results the bulging out of an unpaired adenosine, on the BPS, which initiates a nucleophilic attack at the intronic 5' splice site, thus starting the first of two transesterification reactions that mediate splicing. The record is from Ensembl.
AUCACUUCUCAGCCUUUUGGCUAAGAUCAAGUGAAGAAAUCUCUUUCACAUCUUUGCCAAGACUUUGAAGUAUUUGACUUUUUAUUUUUGCCAAUCUAAUGUGUUUGAAAGGCAUCUCGUUGUUUUAAUUUGCAUGUUCCUGAUUUCCAAUGAAAUUAUG